UCGCUGUGCCAUGAAAACAUUU
This 22-nucleotide microRNA is filed under the name Parasteatoda tepidariorum (common house spider). Its description in RNAcentral is "pte-miR-11963a-3p". The record is from miRBase by way of RNAcentral. Lineage: Eukaryota; Metazoa; Arthropoda; Arachnida; Araneae; Theridiidae.